AUAUCAAUAAGCGGAGGAAAAGAAACUAACAAGGAUUCCCCUAGUAACGGCGAGUGAAGCGGGAAGAGCUCAAAUUUAAAAUCUGGUUUGCUUGCAAAUCCGAGUUGUAGUCUGAAGAAACGUUUUCCAUGAAAAUCGAGGCACAAGUCCUUUGGAACAGGGCAUCAUAGAGGGUGAGAAUCCCGUCCAUGGUCUCGAAUCUUUCAUUUUGUGAUACGUUUUCUAAGAGUCAGGUUGUUUGGGAAUGCAGCCUAAAAUGGGUGGUAAAUUUCAUCUAAAGCUAAAUAUUGGCGAGAGACCGAUAGCGAACAAGUACCGUGAGGGAAAGAUGAAAAGAACUUUGAAAAGAGAGUUAAAAAGUACGUGAAAUUGUUGAAAGGGAAGCGCUUGCAACCAGACUUGCACGCUGCUGAUCAUCCGGGGUUCUCCCCGGUGCACUCGGUUGCGUUCAGGCCAGCAUCGGUUUGGGUGGUUGGAUAAAGGCCUUGGGAAUGUAGCUUCUUUCGGGGAGUGUUAUAGCCCUCGGUGCAAUGCAGCCUACCCGGACCGAGGACCGCGCUUCGGCUAGGAUGCUGGCGUAAUGGUUGUAAGCGA
RNAcentral lists this ribosomal RNA (594 nucleotides) under uncultured fungus. RNAcentral's name for it is "eukaryotic LSU rRNA". It matches the Rfam family "Eukaryotic large subunit ribosomal RNA", at positions 40 to 647 of the family's 3401-position model. Lineage: Eukaryota; Fungi. The record is from RNAcentral.